This 2399-nucleotide long non-coding RNA is filed under the name Venturia canescens. Its description in RNAcentral is "uncharacterized LOC122419254". Lineage: Eukaryota; Metazoa; Arthropoda; Insecta; Hymenoptera; Ichneumonidae. The record is from RNAcentral.
CUUUGUAAACAAUACCAUGUUCUGUUUUGUUUUACGAUUUCUUUUCAUCUUUGCCAGAAACAUGGAUCAAGGAUGACGUUUAGGACAAAAUUCAUCUGCAUAUUUUUGCUGGUGCUCAGGAAGAUUUUUUCGAUUGAAAAAGUCGUUCAAAUAUUCUCAGUGCAUUAAGAAAUUAUUAUUAAAACGGAUUCACCGUGACGCGCUCGGCGCUAUCUAAUGUGUUGAGAUCGACUGAAUUCUAAUUGAGUGCAUACUAAAUCCGGACUGUCAAUUUGAGCGUUUAAGGCUAUAAGCAUGAAAUUGCAUUACUUUGUUUUUAGGACCGUCUUUUCACAUAUGCUGUCUAAGGUAUGGAUACUAAGGUAUGAAUAUUCACAUCAAUAAACGUCGUAAUCACUAAUAAGUAUAAUUUAUUUCGAGGAAAAACGCUGUCUUCUGUAAUUUCAAAUCAGUCUUCGGAGCAUUUCAACUCUGAAAAUUGAAAUCACCAGAUCGAAAAACUGAAAUUUUCCGGACGAAGAAUGAUCAAUUACUGUAGGUGUAAGUACAGCUUUGUAUUAUUUAAUCAAUGAAUGGCUGAUCUUAUCCCAAAAAAUUUUCUCCGUGAAAUAAUUGAGUUUCGUCCACCAUUUAUUGAAGGAAUAAAACAUUGUUCCAUUUUGGUAAAAGUGGUGCAGAAGAUACGUAAACGGAAUUGUCAAAUGCAAUACGACGAGACACGAGAAGGGUAAUAUUCAUAAAUUAUGAAGGUUGAUAGUGCACAGAGUAACCACCUUUUCCAUUUGUUUCGACGCAAAAUCCUCUACGGUAACGAACUCGAAGUAAGAGUCGAGAGUUCUCUCCGAUUCUCUCCUUUCAGCUCUCCAGCAUAAUCACCAACCAGCGCUUUAGAACCUCGAUCCCUACUGUUUGUCUUGUGUGUAUAGAAUAACAACACUAAGUCUAUAGAGCAAGGAUUGACAGAAGCUUUUCCUUUGACGUUUUUGAGCGCAAGGGAUGUACACUUCCCCCCGCCUUGACGAUGAUCAUGAACAUCUAUUGUAUUUUUCUCUUUGAGAAAAAGGAAGCAUUUCGAAGCAGUAAGAAGCCUCAGCCAUCACCAAAGAUAUGUUUUUUCGAAAGAGAAAAACAUCGAUAGUAAACACCACGCAGGAACACCCAACAGGAAGCCUCAAAGAAAAAAUGCACAUAUGGAUAUAAUAAUGCAUAAAUGCAUAAUAGAUCGUACCGAUAAUGCGUGCGUAUCCGAUAUCAUCAAUUGUAAUCCAAUUAAAACCAUAUCGCUCAGUUUGGAGGAUAAAUUAGUUGUGCUUGAAUCAUCGAUUUUACAUCAAUAAUAUUUGACCUACAUUCAAACCUUCGCCGCGGCCACGCGUUCGCCGAACCUUUAUCCCUCUCGAAUAUAUCGCCACGCGCGCCGAUUUCAAUGAUUGAUGCUUAAUUAACGGAACGAUAGAUUCCGAGCUCGUCAAGGAUGAAAAAAUUGGCAAUUCAAUCGUAAAUUUAUAAAGACGUCUGGAAGAGGAAGAAUGAGCUUAAGUGGACUGUGGAGUUGAAGUGGAAGCUGAGAGGAUCGUUGGCUCGGGAGAGCGAAGGGUAAAACCGCUGAGAUCAACGGGACACAGAGAGCUCUCUCUUUCCUUUUUUCUUAAACCAGAGAGGGUAAUCUGGUAUGUACUCUCUAAUGUUUUUGUAUAGGGCUGCAACACAUGUGGCAAAGAAAGAAGGGAAAAGGAAAAGGCGAGGGAAGAGCUUGUUUGGCAGAUAGGUCUGUAUAUCCUAUAUUUAUCUCAACGUAUAUUUAUCUCAAUGUUUCUCCGUGAGAUGGCUUGAAUUGCUUCCUAAUUGAUGCUCAACUGUUGAACGCCCGUUGUGUAUGGGCGUCCCUGAUAAACCAGUCUGCGACACCUCCCCCAGUCAAAUCCGUUCUCCCUUCUGAUGUACAUGCUAUCUCUGUUCCUAUGUGUGUACGUACUCGACUAGAUUCGAAUGUGACCGGAGAAAACCACGAACUCACCAUUCCAUCCGGAGCUACAUCCUGCCGUGCCUUGCAACAUCCUCGAUUUUACCUUAAAUGUUUCACAGUCAAUUCUGAUGGCAUCCGUGUACUUGGCUUGGCAGUUUAGAGGAUUAAAGGAAAUGGUGCAAAAUUCAUUUUUUCGAAUGAACAAAGAUAUUAUCUCUGGUACAUGUUCUUAUGAAGAACGUCGAAGAUUUAACUGAUAAACGUGUCUGCUGGAUCCACAUUUCAAUGAUAAAGACCCGAAAACUCGGAAUUACAUUUUUUCCCAAUUCGCAUUUCAUAAAAAUUGUAUUGAAUCAUUGAAUUAACCUCAUCAAAUCUGUUUUUGUAAACAUAUUCUUUCUGGAAUUAUAGCCAUCUGUUCCAGUACAAUGAA